GCUUGCUCGCUCUCAAACCUUGGUCUGAGUCACAGGGCUAAUCCGACGCCAGAGAAGAGUUGCACGAUGCCCCAGCCCUCCUGUUUUCAGAAAGAGAAAACAGGCAGACGCAGCAGUCUUGCCCCUGAGCCACCUGAGGAGGUGCUUUUCACGGGGUGCUCGCUUUGACAUGGGAACUGGCAGUCCGUGCGCCUGCUUACAUAAUGGGGAACGCCUGUAGGUGUUGAUUCAGCUUACAUAACCAAAACCUCGCCCACACGGGUGCCGUCCCUUCCGCAUCUCCAAAUCCAAGAGCCUUUCUUUCCUACUUGCUUCACUUUUUUAAAUGUGAAGUUCCAAGGUGGAGAAAACAUGAGCAACAUCGUUUUUUUUUUUUUUUCAGAGGGAGAGCUGACAUUUCUACUGCGAAUAUUUCUGGAAGACAUCACUGUCAAUGGUCAUUUUUUCCCGAGUUCAUGUUGUAGUCUUUCAUAAUGUCAGGGGAUUUCAUAAAAUGUGCCUGUUGCUGGGUACACACCAGGUUUACUUCUGUCUCUUCCCUCCACCCAUUAUAUUUAUGUGACAUGACUACUGUCCCUGAUGGCUGCUGCCCCUCCACCACGAUCUUGCAUCCCGCAGCUCCCCACACCUCCUACAGAGGGAGCCACACGGCAAAGCUGUGUGGGGGGAGGUCCAGCAAGCGACAUAAGGCCUGGGACACGAAGUCGGAGGGCGGAUGCAGCUACCUCCCCCUGCGACGAGGGAGUCCAGCCAAGAGCGUCCGCCCCAACAAGUGGUGCCAAGUCCCUCUAGAAGAGUUGAUGGAAUCAUCAUACUCAGACAUUCCUAUUAUAGUUAUUUCCUUCUAAUCAUUUUUUGGUUUCAUAUAUAUUAAUUGUGCAGAUUGGCUCUUUCAAUUCUUUAUUAAAGUCAAUGCAUGUGUUUGGCCAUAUGUGCAAUCUAUGCAAGUCAUUUGUUGCCAAUGAAGCAAGCUGAGUUGAACCAAUUACAUUCAUCCCAGAAAUUCAUCAGUAGGAAAGCUAAAUUUUAGCCUUCAAAGAGCUUUUUAUUUUUCAUAGCAUUAACAUGCUAAAUUACAGGAAAGUAGGUCUUUCAGCUGGAACAGCCCAGAUCACGAAGAAAAACAACAGGGUUUUCAGUCUUAUAGUCAGUGAACUCCAACUUUGAUAUGUAUGUUUGAUAGGUAUAUGUCCUGUAUGAUAAAGUGAUAUGUAUGUUUUUUCAGGAUGAAAACAGAUGGGCUCAACAAGCAGUUAUAUGAGAAGAAAAGAAUGGCACAGACAUCUACACCUUUUUCUGGGAUUAAAUUUUACAUCAGAACAUAUUAUUAUUAAAUGUCUUAUUAUAUUAUUAAAUGUCUAUUAUAUGUCUUAUUAAAAAAUUUUUAUUGUG
RNAcentral lists this long non-coding RNA (1392 nucleotides) under Scleropages formosus (Asian bonytongue). Its description in RNAcentral is "lncRNA (ENSSFOG00015027768.1)". Lineage: Eukaryota; Metazoa; Chordata; Actinopteri; Osteoglossiformes; Osteoglossidae. The record is from RNAcentral.